This is a long non-coding RNA of Daphnia carinata, 198 nucleotides long. RefSeq lists it as uncharacterized. The transcript is spliced from 3 exons. The record is from RefSeq and is a predicted model, not a curated record. NCBI's taxonomy places the organism in Eukaryota, Metazoa, Arthropoda, Branchiopoda, Diplostraca, Daphniidae.
CUAGGUGCCGUUUGAAUCGUAAAAAAAUACCACGCCGAAAAUGCGAGAUACUACAAGAAGUCGAUCUGCUUUUCUUCGGUUCCCGAUCCUCUUUGGAUCCAUUUUGGGAAUAUUUUACAUGGGAUUCCAAUAUCGGAAAACAUUCAUGACAGACAUACCAGAAAAAGUAAAGGAAAUGAAUAAAGAAGACUCAGAUAA